This 73-nucleotide transfer RNA is filed under the name Clostridiales bacterium. Its description in RNAcentral is "tRNA-Lys". It matches the Rfam family "tRNA". From Rfam's summary of the family: Transfer RNA (tRNA) molecules are approximately 80 nucleotides in length. Their secondary structure includes four short double-helical elements and three loops (D, anti-codon, and T loops). Further hydrogen bonds mediate the characteristic L-shaped molecular structure. tRNAs have two regions of fundamental functional importance: the anti-codon, which is responsible for specific mRNA codon recognition, and the 3' end, to which the tRNAs corresponding amino acid is attached (by aminoacyl-tRNA synthetases). tRNAs cope with the degeneracy of the genetic code in two manners: having more than one tRNA (with a specific anti-codon) for a particular amino acid; and 'wobble' base-pairing, i.e. permitting non-standard base-pairing at the 3rd anti-codon position. The record is from RNAcentral. Lineage: Bacteria; Bacillati; Bacillota; Clostridia; Eubacteriales.
GCAUCUUUAGCUCAGUUGGUAGAGCAGCUGACUCUUAAUCAGCGGGUCCGGGGUUCGAGCCCCCGAAGGUGUA